GGAUGCAGCUUGAUGGAACUGCUUGGCAAGCCCUGAUAGUUUUAAAACAUUUAAUAAAUUACUAAUUAAAGGAGGAGAAAAAACUCAGCUCAGAAAUGUCAGCAAACAUGUGCAUUGUUUUUUUCAACAUUUUGUAAAUUAAGUAAUUUAAAUUGAUUGAUGAAAACUGUUUCCUUUUCUUUUUCUUUUUUUUUUUCCCCAAUGUGGGAUGUUUAUGGAAACUACUUUGAUUUGGGCUUGCCCAAGUACUGACAAUGCUCCUUGCGUCUUCCUCAAGGACCUCAUCAUAGCUUGUGCAGAAAGGAUUUCUCUAACCUGCAAGUGAAUCACACCGACCUGUUUUUUGAACCAGAGCUUCAUGGGGGUGCCUUCUAAAAGCCCAGCUAACAGCAGAUACAGUGUUCAUGAAGUACUGAAUAUCCAUAAUGGUUUUUUUGAUGAAUAUGGUUUGAAUAUAUUUUCAUACCUCUUACACAAACAUAGAGAAGUAUUUUAACUGCUGUUAUCCCUCUUAGCCUCCUGCAGACCAUCUGACCCAUCAGCUUUGUUUGCUAUUGCUGAAAAACUGGGACUGAACUUCAUGAAUGAAUUUUGAGUUUGCUAUGGUUGCUACAUACUCCUGAUGGAGAAAGCAGGGCCAAAAUGCUGCUUGAAGGGAUACAAGAAGAUGGAGGGCCUCGUGGUAAUAAUUAGCAUCUCUUGAGGAGUGACUCCAUGAUCCUGAGCUGACCACCAAGAACCUACUGGUUGAUCCAUCUUUGGCUUUGAUGUACAUGGUGUGUGUCACACCCCCUUCAGGGACACAGAGCAAGCAAGGUUGUCAUACUGCCUCCAUUUGCUAAUUCUGAGAGUGCCGUGGCUACAGAUGGCCAGUGAGUCAUGCUGGGAACAGCCAUGAAGCAAUGAGCACCAGCCCAGCAGCAGAGCACCCAUGUGAAAGAAGACAGCACACCUGCAGGUCCAAAGCCAGCCCAGGACACAGAGCCAUCUGCGCACAGGACAGCAAUAAAUGUGACUUCUGUUUCUGCCUGAAGAAGGUGCCACCUUCAAGCUGGGAGUAAACAUAUGCAAGCCAAGGGACUCCAGAAGAAUUCAUAUAUUUUCAAAUCACCCUUAUUCCUCAGCCAUCACUCUUUUUAGCUUUGGAAAGUGUCUUUUCAACUAAGCUAUUCUUGUCGUCACUCUAUUUUCUGUAAACCUGCUUAACUACUCUUCCUCUGUGCUUUUGUUUGACUAUAAAUGAACAAACAGCUUGUUUUCCACAAAGGUCACAUUUUCCCUUGAAGAGCAAUUUAUACAAAGCUUAUGGCAGAGCUCUUAUUGUUGCCUUAAGGUAUUUAAUUCUGAUUAUGCCCUUUGCUAGCAUUAUGCAAUUGCCAUGAUAUAGGCUGUCCAAAUCAAAAAUACAAAUUCAUUAUCAUGUGCUCAUGUAGUCAAGACUGAUCUUUAAUUAUUUAUCAAGCUUUCAUAAGUCAGGACUGUGUAAAACAAGUAUUGUUAACUAGGAUUACUUAUGGGACACAUCUGUAUCAGUUAAUUAUUACAACAGUUACCUAUUACCUAUCAGAAAACUAUAUCUUCCUCAUUUAAAAUCCACUCCUGUUUUAUUAAACAGUAUAAUGUUAUUAUUGGUUUUUCAGAGAAGUAGAAGGGUUAACAAUGAGAUUGCUGUGCACUCAAAAUGGAGCUGAUGCAGACUGAAAUCAACUUCUAGCUUGACUUCUACCCAGUUCAGGCACAAAUGACAUGGAAAAAAGAAUCCCCAUGGCAGGGAACAAUGUACAAGUCUCUUCUGCAACAGCAAGCAGAAACUCUUAGGUAAAAAGUGGUUUUUUUGUCCCCACUGACAGGAAGCAUAAUUGGAAAUGUUAAUAUCCUUGACACAGAAAAAGAAUAUAAUCCUUUCAGAACAUCAACAUUGCUUCAAAGAGCUCCUAAUGCAUUGAUUUUUUUUUUUUUUUUUUUUUUUUUUUUUUUACCCCUGACAUUAAAAUAAAAGCAAAAAGAAUGCUAGUAUAGACUCCCUGUGUAGUACACUGUCCUGCCAGAACUGAAAUAGUGCCUGCAGGACAGAGAUCAGUCGGGAAGCUUUACAUUCAUCUGGCCCCAGCUGAGAUUACUUCAGAGCAGCGUUGUAAAACUCCUGUUCAGAAAGCAGCCUGGACACAAUGCCCUUUAAUUCCAGAUUCAGAGGUAGCAAAGCACACAGAGCAAUUCCAUUCAUCAACCACAUGAAUACCCUUAAACCCAACAA
Molecule: long non-coding RNA, 2254 nt
Organism: Haemorhous mexicanus (house finch)
Lineage: Eukaryota; Metazoa; Chordata; Aves; Passeriformes; Fringillidae
Exons: 5
Source: RefSeq, a predicted model, not a curated record